Molecule: transfer RNA, 71 nt
Filed under: Marmota monax (woodchuck)
Lineage: Eukaryota; Metazoa; Chordata; Mammalia; Rodentia; Sciuridae
Description: tRNA.Ala
Rfam family: tRNA
About the family: Transfer RNA (tRNA) molecules are approximately 80 nucleotides in length. Their secondary structure includes four short double-helical elements and three loops (D, anti-codon, and T loops).
Source: RNAcentral
GGGGUUGUGGCUCGGUGGUAGAGCACCUGCCUAGCAUGCACGAGGCACUGGGUUUGAUUCUCAGCACCACA